RNAcentral lists this ribosomal RNA (465 nucleotides) under Vreelandella stevensii. RNAcentral describes it as "partial 16S ribosomal RNA". It matches the Rfam family "Bacterial small subunit ribosomal RNA", at positions 338 to 795 of the family's 1533-position model. The record is from RNAcentral. Lineage: Bacteria; Pseudomonadati; Pseudomonadota; Gammaproteobacteria; Oceanospirillales; Halomonadaceae.
CCUACGGGAUGCAGCAGUGGGGAAUAUUGGACAAUGGGCGAAAGCCUGAUCCAGCCAUGCCGCGUGUGUGAAGAAGGCCUUCGGGUUGUAAAGCACUUUCAGUGGGGAAGAAAGCCUUGGGUCUAAUACCCUCGAGGAAGGACAUCACCCACAGAAGAAGCACCUGCUAACUCCGUGCCAGCAGCCGCGGUAAUACGGAGGGUGCGAGCGUUAAUCGGAAUUACUGGGCGUAAAGCGCGCGUAGGCGGUCUGAUAAGCCGGUUGUGAAAGCCCCGGGCUCAACCUGGGAACGGCAUCCGGAACUGUCAGGCUAGAGUGCAGGAGAGGAAGGUAGAAUUCCCGGUGUAGCGGUGAAAUGCGUAGAGAUCGGGAGGAAUACCAGUGGCGAAGGCGGACUUCUGGACUGACACUGACGCUGAGGUGCGAAAGCGUGGGUAGCAAACAGGAUUAGAUACCCGUGUAGUC